RNAcentral lists this long non-coding RNA (606 nucleotides) under Linum usitatissimum (flax). Its description in RNAcentral is "long non-coding RNA (LUSI_LNC007755)". Lineage: Eukaryota; Viridiplantae; Streptophyta; Magnoliopsida; Malpighiales; Linaceae. The record is from RNAcentral.
CAGAUGUGAAGCUGUUGAGAGACAAUAAGAUCAUCUCGUUCACAGGUGAUAACUUGAUUGAUAAUUUUCAGUCAUAGGUAAGUCUACUAGGUGAGAAUACCAUUUGUUUGACGGCUCUAAAGCUAAUGACUUUUGUAUACAUUUGCUCUCAAUAACAGGGGAAGAGGAGGAUGAUGAGCUGUUCAAGGGAGUCGCUGCAGCCAUUGAUACAUUCGAUCAUAGGAAGGAUAAGGCAGUGAACGAGCAUUACAGUAGCCAUAGGAGGAUCAAGAUGGGGAAGAUGGUGAAGAAGUACGUCAAGGUUUCGUGGGCUGUCGCUAAGGUUAUGGCUGCUGUGUUGCUGCUGGUGAUGCUUGCUGUUCAGACUUUCUGUGAUGUUUACAACUGUAAAGGGAGCUCUACUGCUAUGGUGUUUGGUGGAUAGAAGUGUUUGAUUUUAAUGGUUCCUGAGUUCGUAAUGUGAUUGACAGAGUUGGGGAAUCAAAAUGUCUUCAAUUCAAGGUUUCAGAAUCUGCAGAGCAAAGCUGAGUGAUGAUAUACUGUGAACAUGGCGGAGAAAUUCCAUGAGCAAGCAACAAGAAACUUCUAGAGUGACAGUCCACGGCG